This 417-nucleotide ribosomal RNA is filed under the name uncultured bacterium. RNAcentral describes it as "bacterial SSU rRNA". It matches the Rfam family "Bacterial small subunit ribosomal RNA", at positions 355 to 772 of the family's 1533-position model. The record is from RNAcentral.
UGGGGAAUCUUGCGCAAUGGCCGAAAGGCUGACGCAGCGACGCCGCGUGUGGGAUGACGCCUUUCGGGGUGUAAACCACUGUUGCCCGGGACGUACGACCCUAUUCGUGGGGUGUGACGGUACCGGGUGAGGAAGCACCGGCUAACUCUGUGCCAGCAGCCGCGGUAAUACAGAGGGUGCGAGCGUUAAUCGGAAUCACUGGGCUUAAAGCGUUCGUAGGCGGAUCUGUAGGCGCGUUGUGAAAGCCCUCGGCUCAACCGGGGAACUGCUUCGCGAACCACAGAUCUUGAGUCAAGUAGGGGCGAUCGGAACGAUAGGUGGAGCGGUGAAAUGCGUAGAUAUCUAUCGGAACGCCGAAGGUGAAGACAGGUCGCUGGGCUUGUACUGACGCUGAGGAACGAAAGCGUGGGGAGCAAA